UUAUUAGCUAUUACUCAGAAAAGGAAAACAGUCAUUGUUUUUUUCGUGCUUAAACGGCAAAAUGUGCGCGCCAAGCAAUUAAACACUAGUAGUAUCCAUCCACUAAGCUACAGUUUCGGAAAACACUCGCACAAAAUAAAAAAAAAAUCAAUUUGCAAUAUUCGUGCCGCCACUACCAUCGCGCUUCUAUAAAGAAAAAAAAAUCUACCAAUACAAAAAGAACUCAUUCGUUUGCUUUUCCUGCCAAAUAUCGAUCGAUAUCCGUUUUAACUAAUUUUGGCCAGAUUGCAUUAGCUUUCUUUCCGAACCAAGUAUUUGUGUUUUUGUUGUAAUCAUUCGCUUCGGUUUGGGUAAAGAUUGAACAGCCUAGAGGAAGAGAGGAGAGGAGGCUGCAAAAAUCACACGCUUGUCGCCGGGUGUAAGACGCAAAGAGAGCAGCUGAAGAAAUUACCAAGGCAUAUUUAAAAUAAAAAAGAGAUAUAGUAUAUAUUUAUAUAUAUGCUCUUGUGAAUAUUAAGAUGUGUGCUCAUUGAAUUCAAUAAAAAUCGCAAAUAUUAAUGAGAUUUGUUGAUGCUGCUGCACGCCAAGGAAACAUUCGAAUUGUAUGUAUAAAAAUAAACCAAACAAAUCGGCGCCGACAUUUGCCACAGCUAGCAACAAGAGAGCAUCAGCAAAGAGAGAGAAAGAGAUAUAGUUAGCAAGCGAACAAGCAAGCAUCCGCCCAGAGUCCCCUUGUGCUCAGAUACUCCGCACGCCCGCGCAUCGUAACGAAAGACGGCUUUGCUCUUUGGGCGUCAUCGAUAUUCGUGUAGCCGUUUCGUUUGUUUACGCGAGGCGCGUGUAGACAAACACGACACACCCUGUGCGCACUCCAGCAAGGAGAGUCCUGCCCUUACCCACAUUGCGUGCGUGACUGGCUGUCACCCGGGCGUCUUAUCUAUCGACCACACAGCAACGCCUAUUGACCGAAGACCGCUCCUGCAACGACAAAACGACAACGACAAAAAAAAAAAAAAAACUAACAACAACAACGCGCCAUUGCCUGCCAGUUCCUCUUCCUUGUUCCAUUGGGAAGCAGCCAUUUGUGUUUUUCGUGACCAACAGUAUGAAAUGAGUGCCUCAUCCGAGUGCGAGACGGCAACGAAUCCAAGCGAAUUAUCAACGGCAGCAGCCAAGGGCAACAGUUGAACGACAACAACAGCUUGAAGAAGCAGAACAACAACAACAACUAGCAACAAUUAACAAUUGCAAUAAACAACAACAAUAAAGGAAAAACGAAAGAAAAAACACGAGGAAAAUAUUAAACUAGAGCAUAGAUACAGUAUAUACCAGCUAAGAGCUACAAAACUCUGCACAAACCAAACCAAACCAAAAUAAAUAACAACAACAACAA
This is a long non-coding RNA of Drosophila navojoa, 1393 nucleotides long. Lineage: Eukaryota; Metazoa; Arthropoda; Insecta; Diptera; Drosophilidae. The record is from RefSeq and is a predicted model, not a curated record.